Sapajus apella (tufted capuchin) is the source of this 211-nucleotide long non-coding RNA. RefSeq lists it as uncharacterized. The record is from RefSeq and is a predicted model, not a curated record. NCBI's taxonomy places the organism in Eukaryota, Metazoa, Chordata, Mammalia, Primates, Cebidae. The transcript is spliced from 4 exons.
AGCUAGUUGUUAAAAAAGAGCCAGGCACCUCCCCUACUCUCUCUCACCAUGCGGUCUCUACACUGGCUCCCCUUUGCCUGAGCUGUGAGUGGAAGGAGGCUGUGGUCCUCACCAGAGGCAGAUGCUGGCACCAAGCUUCUUGCACAUCCUGCAGAACUGUGAACCAAAUACACUUCUUUGCCUUUUAAAAGAAUAAAUUACCCUAUCUCAA